Molecule: ribosomal RNA, 403 nt
Filed under: Macrobrachium villosimanus
Lineage: Eukaryota; Metazoa; Arthropoda; Malacostraca; Decapoda; Palaemonidae
Description: partial 12S ribosomal RNA
Source: RNAcentral
AAACUAGGAUUAGAUACCCUAUUAUACUAGACUUGAAGCGUGUUACGUGAUUAGUAUCAGUUAUGUUCUUGAAAUGUAAAGGAUUUGGCUGUAUCCAAGGCUAGUCAGAGGAACCUGCCAUUUAAACGAUAUGCCAUGAAUGAUCUUGCUUUGUCUUGUUGAACAGUAUGUAUACUGCCAUUAUUAGGUGGUGUAUUAGUAUACCCAUUAAAAUUAUUUUAUAUUAAAUAUAUUAGGUCAGGUGCAGCCUAUGGCAAAGAUAUAGGUGGGUUACAGUACAUUAUAUCUAUACGAAAAGUCUCCUGAAACAGGGUCUUGAAGGUGGAUUUAAUUGUAUUUCUUUUUUAAUAUGUUAGAUUGAUUAGAGCUCUGAGGAUCUGUACACAUCGCCCGUCGCUCUUAA